GAUGAACGCUGGCGGCGUGCCUAACACAUGCAAGUCGAACGGAGUAUCUUAUAUAGACUUUCUUAGGAGAUGAAAUAUUAGAUACUUAGUGGCGGACGGGUGAGUAACGCGUGGGUAACCUACCUCAUACAGGGGGAUAAACAACCGGAAACGGCUGCUAAAACCGCAUAACAAAGACUAAUCGCAUGAUUAAUCUUUCAAAUAUUUCAUAGGUAUGAGAUGGGGCCCGCGUCUGAUUAGCUAGUUGGUGAGAUAAAAGACCCACCAAGGCGACGAUCAGUAGCCGGCUUGAGAGAGUGACCGGCCACAUUGGGACUGAGACACGGCCCAAACUCCUACGGGGGGCAGCAGUGGGGGAUCUUGCACAAUGGGCGAAAGCCUGAUGCAGCGACGCCGCGUGAGCGAAGAAGGCCUCGGUUGUAAAGCUCUGUCUGGAGGGACGGAAGGAAGUAGACGGUACCUCCGGAGGAAGCCACGGCUAACUACGUGCCAGCAGCCGAC
This 501-nucleotide ribosomal RNA is filed under the name uncultured bacterium. Its description in RNAcentral is "bacterial SSU rRNA". It matches the Rfam family "Bacterial small subunit ribosomal RNA", at positions 28 to 518 of the family's 1533-position model. The record is from RNAcentral.